This is a long non-coding RNA of Symphalangus syndactylus (siamang), 254 nucleotides long. RefSeq lists it as uncharacterized. The record is from RefSeq and is a predicted model, not a curated record. Lineage: Eukaryota; Metazoa; Chordata; Mammalia; Primates; Hylobatidae.
AGAACAGAUUGCAUGCCUUUCUCAUCUGUGUCACAUGCAACAGCUUGCACAGUUCAACAUGAACUGAGAUGAGGCAGGAGUGUAAAAACACUGAACAGAGAAUUAACAGAUGGAACAGACCAGGAAAAGAGAGGCAAUAAAAGAAGGAUGAAUUUAGUAAUGUAAAGCAGAAGUAAACAGAAAUGGUUUACAGGAUGUAAAAUAAAAGGAUGUACAGAAUCGGGAACAGUUAUGGGGAAUGUGAUAAUAUUGAG